GACGAACGCUGGCGGCGUGCUUAACACAUGCAAGUCGAACGGAAAGGCCCUGCUUUUGCUGGGUGCUCGAGAGGCGAACGGGUGAGUAACACGUGAGUAACCUGUCCUUGUCUUUGGGAGAACAUCAGGAAACUGGGGCUAAUACCGCAUAGGAGAUACUGCUGCAUGUUGGGCGUUAGAGAGUGUCGGCGGUUGGGGAUGUACUGGAGGGUUAUCAGCUUGUUGGUGGGGUAGUGGCUUACCAAGGGUAAGACGGGUAGGCGGCCUGAGAGGGGGAACGGCCACAAGGGGACUACGGGAGGGCGCAGACGCGUACGGGAGGCAGCAGUGGGGAGCAUGGCAGAAUGACGGGACGCGUGAUGUAGCAACGCUGGGUGCGGGAUGACGGCCUAUGGGUUGUGAACAACUUUCUCCGGAAAUAAGGAGUGCGUGACGGUAAUGGAUCAAGAAGCACCGGCUAACUACGUG
RNAcentral lists this ribosomal RNA (468 nucleotides) under uncultured bacterium. Its description in RNAcentral is "partial 16S ribosomal RNA". It matches the Rfam family "Bacterial small subunit ribosomal RNA", at positions 28 to 507 of the family's 1533-position model. The record is from RNAcentral.